RNAcentral lists this ribosomal RNA (433 nucleotides) under uncultured bacterium. RNAcentral describes it as "partial 16S ribosomal RNA". It matches the Rfam family "Bacterial small subunit ribosomal RNA", at positions 29 to 507 of the family's 1533-position model. The record is from RNAcentral.
AACGAACGCUGGCGGCAUGCCUAACACAUGCAAGUCGAACGAACCCUUCGGGGUUAGUGGCGCACGGGUGCGUAACGCGUGGGAAUCUGCCCUUUGCUUCGGAAUAACUCAGGGAAACUUGUGCUAAUACCGGAUGAUGUCUUCGGACCAAAGAUUUAUCGGCAAGGGAUGAGCCCGCGUAGGAUUAGGUAGUUGGUGGGGUAAAGGCCUACCAAGCCGACGAUCCUUAGCUGGUCUGAGAGGAUGAUCAGCCACACUGGGACUGAGACACGGCCCAGACUCCUACGGGAGGCAGCAGUGGGGAAUAUUGGACAAUGGGCGCAAGCCUGAUCCAGCAAUGCCGCGUGAGUGAUGAAGGCCCUCGGGUCGUAAAGCUCUUUUACGAGGGAUGAUAAUGACAGUACCUGGAGAAUAAGCGCCGGCUAACUCCGUG